Molecule: ribosomal RNA, 253 nt
Filed under: uncultured bacterium
Lineage: Bacteria
Description: partial 16S ribosomal RNA
Rfam family: Bacterial small subunit ribosomal RNA
Source: RNAcentral
UACGUAGGGGGCAAGCGUUGUUCGGAAUCACUGGGCUUAAAGGGCGCGUAGGCGGCCCCGUCAGUCGGGGGUGAAAUCCCACGGCCCAACCGUGGAAGUGCCUCCGAUACUGCGGGGCUCGAGGGGGGUAGGGGCAGCGGGAACUUCCGGUGGAGCGGUGAAAUGCGUUGAUAUCGGAAGGAACGCCGGCGGCGAAAGCGCGCUGCUGGACCCUAUCUGACGCUGAGGCGCGAAAGCCAGGGGAGCAAACGGG